This 283-nucleotide long non-coding RNA is filed under the name Rosa chinensis. RNAcentral describes it as "sRNA RchiOBHm_Chr2g0147551". The record is from RNAcentral. Lineage: Eukaryota; Viridiplantae; Streptophyta; Magnoliopsida; Rosales; Rosaceae.
CGCCGAGCUCCAGCUCCGUUGCGCUCCAGCACCGCCUAACCUGGAUCCUCCGCCGAGCUCCAGCUCCGUUGCACUCCAGCACCGCUGAACUCGGAUCCUCCGCCGAGCUCCAGGUCAGCUGAACACGGAUCCUCCGCCGAGCUCCGGGUCCGCUGCACUCCAACUCCACCAAACAACCUCUCCGCCCAACACUUCUUCAGCGGGUAAACCUCCGCUAGGCACUGCCACAGCUUUACUGGCAAAACCUGCAAGCUUCCACCGCAAGCCAAGCCUCACCGCCGGC